UGUUCUUCCCCCCACCUUCAGUUCUGUUUACAUUAGGAAAUCUACCCGGGGAUGAGGGGAAGGAGAAGACGGGAAAGCUGCUUUUCAUCGGCUGCUCUCAGUUCCACUGGCUCCAGUUAAAGCUGGCCCCUGUUUCUCGCACAGGUGAAAUUCAUCAUGUCUGAAUGGGUUUCAGAGGGUGAAGAAGAGAAAGGAAAGAUGCAGGAGAAAAUACCUUGAAACGACCAUUGGGAAGAAAAUGAAAACAGAUGCAUGGAAUGGGAAGAUCCUGCUGGGAACAAUAUGAAAGGCAGUGAAUACAAAAGAAUCACCAGAAUUAACCCAUAGUGAUAGAAAGGCCAUCCUCUGGGACACUGGUGGUGAACCUAUGAAACAGGGGUCAAAGGUGACAUGCCACAACAUUUUAGAUGACAUGCCAGCAUUUAUCAACACCUGGCAACAACUAUUUUUGAAGACACUUUUCAAAAGUAAUCCAUAUGAAAUACAUUGCAGAAGAUGUAUCAAAAUGUGGAUAGCUUUUUCCAAGGCUAACCAAAUUAGGAAGUAUGGCAGUUGGUACAAUAUCCAUAAUUGUGCUAAUAUAUUCCUUAGCAAAGCUGCUACUUUAUCAACCUAAUGACAGCUGGAUAUCAGGAGCACACUCAAACACGCAAGCCUGCUGUUUAUUGGUGAGUAUAAUUCCAUUCAGAACAAGCUUCAUCUCAAUCCCAGAGUCCAACUUUAUCCUUACCAACACUACUCCCAAUCUUGUCUGGAUUAAAUUUUAGUUAAUCCAUUAUGAACAUUAGGCAACAAUCAAAACUAUCACUGCUUAUCUCCUUGGAAUGUCUGGGUGUCUUUAGCAUCCCAGACAUUCCAAGGCAUCCCACACCAAAAUCCUGAAUGAUGCCCAUUUGAAAUGGAUCUAUAAAAGCUGUUUCAUCCUACCACACCACUGGUAUAUUGCCACUUGUCUUAUCAACUUGCCCAAGAAUACAAUAUUUGAGAUUGUAACUAUAAUUUGAAACAUCUACAAGGUAAAGAGAAGGCUUUUUGAUUAAAGUUUUGUAAUCACUGUGUAAUCAAUUUUAUUCUGCUGGGAUAUAAAUGUAAUAAAAGAUAGACUCCUUCUUUUAAGCAUGUAGGGCACAUCUUACCCUCACAUAAGUGAUCAUUUCUCUUAAUCCUGGACUCAAUCACAAUCUGGCCUGUUUAAUCAGUGAGAAGUGCACGGGCCUAGCAAUCAAGUAGCAACUUUCAUUUGUCUACACACUCUGUUCCAGUGGUGAGUUUCAAAUUUUUUUUACUACCGGUUCUAUGGGUGUGGCUUUGUGGGUGUGGCAUGGCUUGGUGGGCGUGGCUUGGUGGGUGUGGCAGGGGAAGGAUACUGUAAAA
Molecule: long non-coding RNA, 1374 nt
Organism: Pantherophis guttatus
Lineage: Eukaryota; Metazoa; Chordata; Lepidosauria; Squamata; Colubridae
Source: RefSeq, a predicted model, not a curated record